This 253-nucleotide ribosomal RNA is filed under the name uncultured bacterium. Its description in RNAcentral is "partial 16S ribosomal RNA". It matches the Rfam family "Bacterial small subunit ribosomal RNA", at positions 524 to 776 of the family's 1533-position model. The record is from RNAcentral.
UACGAAGGGGGCUAGCGUUGCUCGGAAUCACUGGGCGUAAAGCGCACGUAGGCGGCUUUCUAAGUCAGGGGUGAAAUCCUGGAGCUCAACUCCAGAACUGCCUUUGAUACUGGGGAGCUUGAGUCCGGGAGAGGUGAGUGGAACUCCGAGUGUAGAGGUGAAAUUCGUAGAUAUUCGGAAGAACACCAGUGGCGAAGGCGGCUCACUGGCCCGGUACUGACGCUGAGGUGCGAAAGCGUGGGGAGCGAACAGG